Unclassified non-coding RNA from Cercocebus atys (sooty mangabey), 85 nucleotides. It matches the Rfam family "Y RNA". From Rfam's summary of the family: Y RNAs are components of the Ro ribonucleoprotein particle (Ro RNP), in association with Ro60 and La proteins. The Y RNAs and Ro60 and La proteins are well conserved, but the function of the Ro RNP is not known. In humans the RNA component can be one of four small RNAs -- hY1, hY3, hY4 and hY5. The record is from Ensembl. Lineage: Eukaryota; Metazoa; Chordata; Mammalia; Primates; Cercopithecidae.
GGCUGCUCUGACGGUAGUGGGUAGUGACAUUAUUGUCACUAAAGUUGGUACACAACCCCCAACUGCUAAAUUUGACUGGCUUUAA